Non-coding RNA from Chlorocebus sabaeus (green monkey), 148 nucleotides. It matches the Rfam family "Metazoan signal recognition particle RNA". Rfam says of the family: The signal recognition particle (SRP) is a universally conserved ribonucleoprotein. It is involved in the co-translational targeting of proteins to membranes. NCBI's taxonomy places the organism in Eukaryota, Metazoa, Chordata, Mammalia, Primates, Cercopithecidae. The record is from Rfam.
GCCGGGUGUGUUGGCAGGCACCUGUAGUCCCAGCUACUCGGGAGGCUGAGGCAGGAGAAUUGCUUGAACCCGGGAGGCGGAGGUUGCAGUGAGCGGAGAUCGCACCACUGCACUCCAGCCUGGGUGACAGAGCAAGACUCUGUCUCAA